UUUCCGUAGGUGAACCAGCGGAAGGAUCAUUAAAGAGAAUAUGCCCUUCGGGGUAGAUCUCCCACCCUUUGUUUAUAUUACCUUUGUUGCUUUGGCAGGCCCGUCUUAGGACCACCGGCUUCGGCUGGUCAGUGCUUGCCAGAGGACCCAAAACUCUUAUUAUUAAUGUCGUCUGAGUACUAUAUAAUAGUUAAAACUUUCAACAACGGAUCUCUUGGUUCUG
Molecule: unclassified non-coding RNA, 223 nt
Filed under: plant metagenome
Description: partial contains small subunit ribosomal RNA, internal transcribed spacer 1, and 5.8S ribosomal RNA
Source: RNAcentral